CUUUAUCCUUUAUCCAUGAGUAACUAUAUCAUGAGAAUCUGCUGUUUUACUACCUGCCAACCAUCCCUUUAGGUUUGGUAGUGGGUUUGAGGAGGGAAGGUGAGGUGCAAUUAGGUGAAGGGAUGGACAUUCCUUCGAGCCUUCAUGUUUGGUUGGAGAGAGAGUGAAGGGAGGUGGACCUUUUUGUAGUUCACUUUCUCUCUCCUCUUGUGUCCUCUGUGAUCCCAAUUUGAGGGAUUCUCUCUCUAGAUUUCUAGUUCAUUUUGCAUUAGCUCACCUCACCGGCUCACCCCACAUCACCCGCUCACCCUGCCUCACCUUCCCCUCUAAAUACCCUCUGCCAAAGGGGAUUUUAGUUUUGUCCCUCACUUCACCCUACCUCCCCCAUACCAAACCAAACCUUAGUUUGGCUAGUAUCUAGCAUAUAUCUACUUUUUUUUGUCUUUUUGUCAGAAAUUUAAUUUUCUAAUAGUUAGGGUGUUGACAUCAGGUCGUAGCAACAUGAAUUUGGUAAUCGUUCCUCAGAACCUUCUGAUCUGGGCCUGUGCCCGACAGAGGGCAUAACUUUUUUCUUCAUGUUACGUUUAUGUGGCUCUCUUCAUGGAGAACUCAAUGUGCUUGUGGAAAUUUAAAGGAGCAAUUUUGACAUAAUGUUCAGCUGGACUUUGUGUUGGAUAUGGGGCAUUUCCCCUUAGCAUUAUCUAAUGUCUGUGGAGGGCAGAGCAACCAUAUAAUGUGUCUGUUGCAGCUGAAGUUUCUGCUUGUGCUGCUUUACAGAACCCUGAUUGUUUGGAGGUGCAUUCACAUAAGAAUAUGUUGUACUUCUUGUUUUUAGAUGACUUUCUGUAUUUAAGUUUACAAUUUUAUUUAGUUAUGUAUCACCCCUCAUAAGGUGAAAAUUUUUCUAGUACAAGAAAGAGUAAAGUUGUAUCAUCUUUUGAAGGAAGUGCCUUACUAGAAGCCACACCAAAGCUAUUCUAAUUUCAUUCUCUGUGAGGUUACAUCUGGAAAGGAUGCUAAGAGAUUAGAGGAACGUCUUUCACAAAUGGGUAUAAUGAUCCAUCAUUACGGCAACAAGGCGCUAAAGGGAUAUGCUCGAAUCUCUGUUGGGAAGCCUGAGCAUACCGAUGCUUUAAUUCAAUGCCUCAAAACUCCUCUCAUGCUAACAAAUGAGCAAAUGAAUGGAAUUUCUGGCUCUCUCUUUUCUGAUGAGAUGUUAGGCCAGCAAUUUCACCAUACAUUGAUGUCAGCAAUGCACGCGAGGAAGAAAUAGUAUCCCCUGAUUCAGUGUUUUAUUUUUUUUCCGGAAUAAUAUAUUUUACCCAGCAUUGUAGUUAGUUCUAGAUUUUCCAUUAAUUCACUGGAUAACACCUUGUUCAAAAUAUUUUCCAUCACUACCAAGUAAUCUGCAGCAUAGCAACUUCUUUCUGAGCAUGUUGUUUUGGGCUUACUACCUCUGUAGUCUCGUUGUUGCGAAAAGACCCCCUGGGUCAACAAUUUUCGACUCUUUUACCCUGGGUGAGAUUUUGGCAGAUAUUGUCCCUGGUUGAAAUUAUUGAGCUUUAGGGUAUAAGAUCAAAAAAGAAGAAAUUUUCUAAACAAACCCAUCCAUAAAUUUUUUUUCUUAAAAUAGAACCCCC
Long non-coding RNA from Asparagus officinalis (garden asparagus), 1640 nucleotides. RefSeq lists it as uncharacterized. NCBI's taxonomy places the organism in Eukaryota, Viridiplantae, Streptophyta, Magnoliopsida, Asparagales, Asparagaceae. The transcript has 5 exons. The record is from RefSeq and is a predicted model, not a curated record.